UUAUAUUUAAUUAAUUUGUUUUCUCUGGUUACAUCAAAUAGGAAGGAAACGUUCUACUCCCUGGAGCUUGAGACUGGAAUGAGAAGUGUUGAAGAAGAGGGUCGAAUGGUGGUCUGAGGACUAAGAGGGAAGCCUUGUGUCAUUGGAUGAAAGAUGUCUGUGGUCCUACGGAAGCUGAGGUGGAGGCCCGUGGACAACGGAUCAGGGAUGAGUUUAAGCCGGCAGUCAAAAUUGAGGAGCGAAUUACUGUCUACCGACAACUUGUGAGACUACCCCCACAAAGCAACUCGGAAGAUUCAUGUGACCGCAUCCAAUAGAAGGAAGGAGACCAGUGAAUAUUCUCAGGUGAUUUCCUUUUGUAUUUGUUUGAGAUCAUUUUUAAUAUUAUCAUUGUCUAAUUCUCAUUUUCAUUUUGUGUUGCAGUUUUUGUCGGCAGUUGAAUUGGAGGGGUGCAUUUCUGUAUACGGACAACCUGUCAGGCCAACUCGGAAGAGCGUUGUGACUGCAUGCUUUAGAAGGAACAAAGACUGAAUAUUCCCAGGAUUUCAGUGGAGGGGCCGAUUACC
Long non-coding RNA from Cryptotermes secundus, 566 nucleotides. RefSeq lists it as uncharacterized. The record is from RefSeq and is a predicted model, not a curated record. NCBI's taxonomy places the organism in Eukaryota, Metazoa, Arthropoda, Insecta, Blattodea, Kalotermitidae. The transcript has 3 exons.